This 253-nucleotide ribosomal RNA is filed under the name uncultured bacterium. Its description in RNAcentral is "partial 16S ribosomal RNA". It matches the Rfam family "Bacterial small subunit ribosomal RNA", at positions 524 to 776 of the family's 1533-position model. The record is from RNAcentral.
UACGGAGGGUGCAAGCGUUAUCCGGAUUCACUGGGUUUAAAGGGUGCGUAGGUGGGUUGGUAAGUCAGUGGUGAAAUCUCCGUGCUUAACAUGGAAACUGCCAUUGAUACUACUGAUCUUGAAUUUUCUGGAGGUAAGCGGAAUAUGUCAUGUAGCGGUGAAAUGCUUAGAUAUCAGGAGGAACACCGAUGGCGAAGGCAGCUCACUGGGACGGUACUGACGCUGAGGCGCGAAAGCGUGGGGAGCAAACAGG